RNAcentral lists this ribosomal RNA (438 nucleotides) under Ascochyta fabae. RNAcentral describes it as "partial 5.8S ribosomal RNA". The stretch from base 127 to 283 matches the Rfam family "5.8S ribosomal RNA". The record is from RNAcentral. Lineage: Eukaryota; Fungi; Ascomycota; Dothideomycetes; Pleosporales; Didymellaceae.
UUCCGUAGGUGGACCUGCGAAAGGAUCAUUACCUAGAGUUUGUGGGCUUUGCCUGCUAUCUCUUACCCAUGUCUUUUGAGUACUUACGUUUCCUCGGUGGGCUCGCCCGCCGAUUGGACAAAUUUAAACCCUUUGCAGUUGCAAAUCUCUUGGUUCUGGCAUCGAUGAAGAACGCAGCGAAAUGCGAUAAGUAGUGUGAAUUGCAGAAUUCAGUGAAUCAUCGAAUCUUUGAACGCACAUUGCGCCCCUUGGUAUUCCAUGGGGCAUGCCUGUUCGAGCGUCAUUUGUACCUUCAAGCUUUGCUUGGUGUUGGGUGUUUGUCUCGCCUCUGUGUGUAGACUCGCCUCAAAACAAUUGGCAGCCGGCGUAUUGAUUUCGGAGCGCAGUACAUCUCGCGCCUUGCACUCAUAACGACGACGUCCAAAAGUACAUUUUUUA